GACGGGGGAUGCAAGUGUUAUCCGGAAUCACUGGGCGUAAAGCGUCUGCAGGUGGUUUCCUAAGUCUACUGUUAAACCUUGAGGCUCAACCUCAAAUCUGCAGUGGAAACUAGGAGACUGGAGUAUAGUAGGGGUAGAGGGAAUUUCCAGUGGAGCGGUGAAAUGCGUAGAUAUUGGAAAGAACACCGAUGGCGAAGGCACUCUACUGGGCUAUUACUGACACUCAGAGACGAAAGCUAGGGGAGCAAAUGGG
RNAcentral lists this ribosomal RNA (253 nucleotides) under uncultured bacterium. RNAcentral's name for it is "partial 16S ribosomal RNA". It matches the Rfam family "Bacterial small subunit ribosomal RNA", at positions 524 to 776 of the family's 1533-position model. The record is from RNAcentral.